RNAcentral lists this ribosomal RNA (253 nucleotides) under uncultured bacterium. Its description in RNAcentral is "partial 16S ribosomal RNA". It matches the Rfam family "Bacterial small subunit ribosomal RNA", at positions 524 to 776 of the family's 1533-position model. The record is from RNAcentral.
UACGUAGGGCGCAAGCGUUGUUCGGAAUUACUGGGCGUAAAGGGCUCGUAGGUGGCCAACUAAGUCAGACGUGAAAUCCCUCAGCUUAACUGGGGAACUGCGUCUGAUACUGGAUGGCUUGAGUUUGGGAGAGGGAUGCGGAAUUCCAGGUGUAGCGGUGAAAUGCGUAGAUAUCUGGAGGAACACCGGUGGCGAAGGCGGCAUCCUGGACCAACACUGACACUGAUGAGCGAAAGCCAGGGGAGCAAACGGG